Molecule: ribosomal RNA, 253 nt
Filed under: uncultured bacterium
Lineage: Bacteria
Description: partial 16S ribosomal RNA
Rfam family: Bacterial small subunit ribosomal RNA
Source: RNAcentral
UACGAAGGGGGCUAGCGUUGCUCGGAAUCACUGGGCGUAAAGCGCACGUAGGCGGCUUUUUAAGUCAGGGGUGAAAUCCUGGAGCUCAACUCCAGAACUGCCUUUGAUACUGAGGAGCUUGAGUUCGGGAGAGGUGAGUGGAACUGCGAGUGUAGAGGUGAAAUUCGUAGAUAUUCGCAAGAACACCAGUGGCGAAGGCGGCUCACUGGCCCGAUACUGACGCUGAGGUGCGAAAGCGUGGGGAGCAAACAGG